This 520-nucleotide unclassified non-coding RNA is filed under the name uncultured Glomus. Its description in RNAcentral is "SSU rRNA". It matches the Rfam family "Eukaryotic small subunit ribosomal RNA", at positions 569 to 1091 of the family's 1831-position model. The record is from RNAcentral. Lineage: Eukaryota; Fungi; Glomeromycota; Glomeromycetes; Glomerales; Glomeraceae.
AGCAGCCGCGGUAAUUCCAGCUCCAAUAGCGUAUAUUAAAGUUGCUGCAGUUAAAAAGCUCGUAGUUGAAUUUCGGGACUAAUAUGUCGGUCGUGCCUCGGUACGUACUGGCUUAUUGGUUUCUCCUUUCUGAAGAACCAUGAUGUCAUUUAUUUGGUGUCGUGGGGAAUCAGGACUGUUACUUUGAAAAAAUUUAGAGUGUUUAAAGCAGGCUCACGCUUGAAUACAUUAGCAUGGAAUAAUGAAAUAGGACGUUUGAUUCUAUUUUGUUGGUUUCUAGGAUCGACGUAAUGAUUAAUAGGGAUGGUUGGGGGCAUUAGUAUUCAAUUGUCAGAGGUGAAGUUCUUGGAUUUAUUGAAGACUAACUACUGCGAAGGCAUUUGCCAAGGAUGUUUUCAUUAAUCAAGAACGAAAGUUAGGGGAUCGAAGACGAUCAGAUACCGUCGUAGUCUUAACCAUAAACUAUGCCGACUAGGGAUCGGAUGAUGUUAAUUUUUUAAUGACUCAUUCGGCGCCUUAC